This is a long non-coding RNA of Prinia subflava (tawny-flanked prinia), 1003 nucleotides long. RefSeq lists it as uncharacterized. NCBI's taxonomy places the organism in Eukaryota, Metazoa, Chordata, Aves, Passeriformes, Cisticolidae. The transcript is spliced from 3 exons. The record is from RefSeq and is a predicted model, not a curated record.
UCCUGCCUGAGGCAGCCUGCAGCCCACAGUGUCCACCCUGUCACAGGGCAUUUGCCAUUGCUGCUGCCAGGAGAUUUCCUGGCACUUGCUGGGGAGCAGGGACUCGCUGAGAAGGAAGAACUCAAUGUGGCAGCAGCCCGGAGCCAUGGGAGCCAUCAUGCUCACCCCCUGGCUUCUCACAGUGAAAGUCCUGACCCAGGAGCUGCAGCCAUGCAGGAGAUGGAAGGAAGCUAUGGGUGAGAGUGGGAUGUGAGCUCCAGGAAAAUUCAGCAGAAAUGUUUCCAGCAUGGUGCCUGAAAUUCAGCCUCUGUGGCCCAUCUUUCAAAGCAGAAAUGUGACCUGAAGAAGUGGAUGAAGUCAUGGUGCUGCUGGGCUGCAAGUGCCUCUUGAUUUCAGCAGGGUCAGGACAAGCCCCACCACACGCUGGCUUCUCAGUGCAAGAAACAGCACAGCAUGCUAAGACUUGGAGUCUUUUGGGGCUAAUUAUUUGUUUUAAAAGAAAAUAAAACAUCCAAGUCUGGAGCUUGUGGUUAAUAAAGAGCUUGUAGGAGCAAAGUUCAUUUUCCCUAGAGUUGUUUCAGUGGUGGAAGAACUUCAAGAUUUCUUUCUUCAGCUUCCUUGAAUUUGUCAUUGAAAGUUCCCUGAAUUAUGCCUGCAAACAUCUUUAUAUCUGAUCACAGAUGGAGCAUAAAUGCCAUGUUAUUGAAGUUGAAGGACACAGCUUACUUUCUGGGGAAUAAUACAUGGGAGGAAGCUGAUAGAGAAUUACUAGGACGAUUCUUGUUUUGUUUCCUUUUAACCAUGUUUCCUUCAAAGCUUCCAUCCACAGCACAAUACUCACCCACCCCCGUAACUAAUUCAUUAUUUUACAGCAAGUAAAAUCAAACAGGAGACAAAUGAUUGUUGUUUAGUGCCAUUAGUUUCAAUGGCUUUCCACAAUAUUUGAGUCAUUGGCUCUCAUCUUGCUUUGGAGGCAGCCCAAAUCUGGAUGAAUCUACGCACA